RNAcentral lists this unclassified non-coding RNA (315 nucleotides) under uncultured Ceratobasidiaceae. RNAcentral's name for it is "sequence contains ITS2". Lineage: Eukaryota; Fungi; Basidiomycota; Agaricomycetes; Cantharellales; Ceratobasidiaceae. The record is from RNAcentral.
AACGCACCUUGCGCUCCUUGGUAUUCCUCGGAGCAUGCCUGUUUGAGUAUCAUGAAAUCCUCAAAAUAAAUCUUUUGUUCAUUCGAUUGAUUUUAUUUUGGACUUGGGGGUCUGCAGAUUCACGUCUGCUCCUCUUAAAUUCAUUAGCUGGAUCUCGAUGAGCUCGGUUCCACUCGGCGUGAUAAGUAUCACUCGCUGAGGACACUGUAAAAGGUGGCCGGGAUUGUUAAAGAACUGCUUCUAAUAGUCUAUUAGCUUAGACAAUUUUAUUUAUGAUCUGAUCUCAAAUCAGGUAGGACUACCCGCUGAACUUAA